RNAcentral lists this ribosomal RNA (2902 nucleotides) under Escherichia coli. RNAcentral's name for it is "bacterial LSU rRNA". It matches the Rfam family "Bacterial large subunit ribosomal RNA". Lineage: Bacteria; Pseudomonadati; Pseudomonadota; Gammaproteobacteria; Enterobacterales; Enterobacteriaceae. The record is from RNAcentral.
UUAAGCGACUAAGCGUACACGGUGGAUGCCCUGGCAGUCAGAGGCGAUGAAGGACGUGCUAAUCUGCGAUAAGCGUCGGUAAGGUGAUAUGAACCGUUAUAACCGGCGAUUUCCGAAUGGGGAAACCCAGUGUGAUUCGUCACACUAUCAUUAACUGAAUCCAUAGGUUAAUGAGGCGAACCGGGGGAACUGAAACAUCUAAGUACCCCGAGGAAAAGAAAUCAACCGAGAUUCCCCCAGUAGCGGCGAGCGAACGGGGAGCAGCCCAGAGCCUGAAUCAGUGUGUGUGUUAGUGGAAGCGUCUGGAAAGGCGUGCGAUACAGGGUGACAGCCCCGUACACAAAAAUGCACAUACUGUGAGCUCGAUGAGUAGGGCGGGACACGUGGUAUCCUGUCUGAAUAUGGGGGGACCAUCCUCCAAGGCUAAAUACUCCUGACUGACCGAUAGUGAACCAGUACCGUGAGGGAAAGGCGAAAAGAACCCCGGCGAGGGGAGUGAAAAAGAACCUGAAACCGUGUACGUACAAGCAGUGGGAGCACGCUUAGGCGUGUGACUGCGUACCUUUUGUAUAAUGGGUCAGCGACUUAUAUUCUGUAGCAAGGUUAACCGAAUAGGGGAGCCGAAGGGAAACCGAGUCUUAACUGGGCGUUAAGUUGCAGGGUAUAGACCCGAAACCCGGUGAUCUAGCCAUGGGCAGGUUGAAGGUUGGGUAACACUAACUGGAGGACCGAACCGACUAAUGUUGAAAAAUUAGCGGAUGACUUGUGGCUGGGGGUGAAAGGCCAAUCAAACCGGGAGAUAGCUGGUUCUCCCCGAAAGCUAUUUAGGUAGCGCCUCGUGAAUUCAUCUCCGGGGGUAGAGCACUGUUUCGGCAAGGGGGUCAUCCCGACUUACCAACCCGAUGCAAACUGCGAAUACCGGAGAAUGUUAUCACGGGAGACACACGGCGGGUGCUAACGUCCGUCGUGAAGAGGGAAACAACCCAGACCGCCAGCUAAGGUCCCAAAGUCAUGGUUAAGUGGGAAACGAUGUGGGAAGGCCCAGACAGCCAGGAUGUUGGCUUAGAAGCAGCCAUCAUUUAAAGAAAGCGUAAUAGCUCACUGGUCGAGUCGGCCUGCGCGGAAGAUGUAACGGGGCUAAACCAUGCACCGAAGCUGCGGCAGCGACGCUUAUGCGUUGUUGGGUAGGGGAGCGUUCUGUAAGCCUGCGAAGGUGUGCUGUGAGGCAUGCUGGAGGUAUCAGAAGUGCGAAUGCUGACAUAAGUAACGAUAAAGCGGGUGAAAAGCCCGCUCGCCGGAAGACCAAGGGUUCCUGUCCAACGUUAAUCGGGGCAGGGUGAGUCGACCCCUAAGGCGAGGCCGAAAGGCGUAGUCGAUGGGAAACAGGUUAAUAUUCCUGUACUUGGUGUUACUGCGAAGGGGGGACGGAGAAGGCUAUGUUGGCCGGGCGACGGUUGUCCCGGUUUAAGCGUGUAGGCUGGUUUUCCAGGCAAAUCCGGAAAAUCAAGGCUGAGGCGUGAUGACGAGGCACUACGGUGCUGAAGCAACAAAUGCCCUGCUUCCAGGAAAAGCCUCUAAGCAUCAGGUAACAUCAAAUCGUACCCCAAACCGACACAGGUGGUCAGGUAGAGAAUACCAAGGCGCUUGAGAGAACUCGGGUGAAGGAACUAGGCAAAAUGGUGCCGUAACUUCGGGAGAAGGCACGCUGAUAUGUAGGUGAAGUCCCUCGCGGAUGGAGCUGAAAUCAGUCGAAGAUACCAGCUGGCUGCAACUGUUUAUUAAAAACACAGCACUGUGCAAACACGAAAGUGGACGUAUACGGUGUGACGCCUGCCCGGUGCCGGAAGGUUAAUUGAUGGGGUCAGCGCAAGCGAAGCUCUUGAUCGAAGCCCCGGUAAACGGCGGCCGUAACUAUAACGGUCCUAAGGUAGCGAAAUUCCUUGUCGGGUAAGUUCCGACCUGCACGAAUGGCGUAAUGAUGGCCAGGCUGUCUCCACCCGAGACUCAGUGAAAUUGAACUCGCUGUGAAGAUGCAGUGUACCCGCGGCAAGACGGAAAGACCCCGUGAACCUUUACUAUAGCUUGACACUGAACAUUGAGCCUUGAUGUGUAGGAUAGGUGGGAGGCUUGGAAGUGUGGACGCCAGUCUGCAUGGAGCCGACCUUGAAAUACCACCCUUUAAUGUUUGAUGUUCUAACGUUGACCCGUAAUCCGGGUUGCGGACAGUGUCUGGUGGGUAGUUUGACUGGGGCGGUCUCCUCCUAAAGAGUAACGGAGGAGCACGAAGGUUGGCUAAUCCUGGUCGGACAUCAGGAGGUUAGUGCAAUGGCAUAAGCCAGCUUGACUGCGAGCGUGACGGCGCGAGCAGGUGCGAAAGCAGGUCAUAGUGAUCCGGUGGUUCUGAAUGGAAGGGCCAUCGCUCAACGGAUAAAAGGUACUCCGGGGAUAACAGGCUGAUACCGCCCAAGAGUUCAUAUCGACGGCGGUGUUUGGCACCUCGAUGUCGGCUCAUCACAUCCUGGGGCUGAAGUAGGUCCCAAGGGUAUGGCUGUUCGCCAUUUAAAGUGGUACGCGAGCUGGGUUUAGAACGUCGUGAGACAGUUCGGUCCCUAUCUGCCGUGGGCGCUGGAGAACUGAGGGGGGCUGCUCCUAGUACGAGAGGACCGGAGUGGACGCAUCACUGGUGUUCGGGUUGUCAUGCCAAUGGCACUGCCCGGUAGCUAAAUGCGGAAGAGAUAAGUGCUGAAAGCAUCUAAGCACGAAACUUGCCCCGAGAUGAGUUCUCCCUGACUCCUUGAGAGUCCUGAAGGAACGUUGAAGACGACGACGUUGAUAGGCCGGAUGUGUAAGCGCAGCGAUGCGUUGAGCUAACCGGUACUAAUGAACCGUGAGGCUUAACCUU